GGAAUAUUGGUCAAUGGACGCAAGUCUGAACCAGCCAUGCCGCGUGCAGGAUGAAGCAUCUAUGGUGUGUAAACUGCUUUUGUACGAGAAGAAACAACUCUACGUGUAGAGUCUUGACGGUAUCGUAAGAAUAAGGACCGGCUAACUCCGUGCCAGCAGCCGCGGUAAUACGGAGGGUCCAAGCGUUAUCCGGAAUCAUUGGGUUUAAAGGGUCCGUAGGCGGUUUAGUAAGUCAGUGGUGAAAGCCCAUCGCUCAACGGUGGAACGGCCAUUGAUACUGCUAAACUUGAAUUAUUAGGAAGUAACUAGAAUAUGUAGUGUAGCGGUGAAAUGCUUAGAGAUUACAUGGAAUACCAAUUGCGAAGGCAGGUUACUACUAAUGGAUUGACGCUGAUGGACGAAAGCGUGGGUAGCGAACAGGAUUAGAUACCCGAG
This 435-nucleotide ribosomal RNA is filed under the name uncultured Flavobacterium sp. RNAcentral's name for it is "bacterial SSU rRNA". It matches the Rfam family "Bacterial small subunit ribosomal RNA", at positions 358 to 790 of the family's 1533-position model. The record is from RNAcentral. Lineage: Bacteria; Pseudomonadati; Bacteroidota; Flavobacteriia; Flavobacteriales; Flavobacteriaceae.